Non-coding RNA from Acanthosepion pharaonis, 76 nucleotides. The record is from the annotation of a GenBank genome assembly. NCBI's taxonomy places the organism in Eukaryota, Metazoa, Mollusca, Cephalopoda, Sepiida, Sepiidae.
GAUCACAGAAGUUAAGCAAUGCUGAGCCUGGUCAGUACCAAGAUGGGUGACCACUUGGGAAUACCAGGUGCUGUAA